Molecule: ribosomal RNA, 492 nt
Filed under: uncultured bacterium
Lineage: Bacteria
Description: partial 16S ribosomal RNA
Rfam family: Bacterial small subunit ribosomal RNA
Source: RNAcentral
AGUGAACGCUGGCGGUAGGCCUAACGCAUGCAAGUCGAACGGCAGCACAGUAAGAGCUUGCUCUUACGGGUGGCGAGUGGCGGACGGGUGAGGAAUACAUCGGAAUCUACUUUUUCGUGGGGGAUAACGUAGGGAAACUUACGCUAAUACCGCAUACGACCUACGGGUGAAAGCAGGGGAUCUUCGGACCUUGCGCGAUUGAAUGAGCCGAUGUCGGAUUAGCUAGUUGGCGGGGUAAAGGCCCACCAAGGCGACGAUCCGUAGCUGGUCUGAGAGGAUGAUCAGCCACACUGGAACUGAGACACGGUCCAGACUCCUACGGGAGGCAGCAAUGGGGAAUAUUGGACAAUGGGCGCAAGCCUGAUCCAGCCAUACCGCGUGGGUGAAGAAGGCCUUCGGGUUGUAAAGCCCUUUUGUUGGGAAAGAAAAGCAGCAGGUUAAUACCCCGCUGUUCUGACGGUACCCAAAGAAUAAGCACCGGCUAACUUCGUG